Long non-coding RNA from Cavia porcellus (domestic guinea pig), 481 nucleotides. RefSeq lists it as uncharacterized. The record is from RefSeq and is a predicted model, not a curated record. NCBI's taxonomy places the organism in Eukaryota, Metazoa, Chordata, Mammalia, Rodentia, Caviidae. The transcript is spliced from 3 exons.
GGCCAGUGGAACUGAAACACUGGAGGGAAGUCACAGGUAGAGAGACGGAGGGACUGAUUUGGGAGUCCUCUGGAUUCGGUGGACGAGCAGAGAAGCACGAGAUUUUCUGAGCCUGAGCUCUGAUUUCUAUGAAUAGAUCAGAAGCUGACCUCUAUGCAUUGUUGGGGUGCAGGAGAUGGAGCUCAGAGCGCAGUUGUAAUUGAACACUCACUGGGAGCGUAAUGGAAGACACAGAGACCUUAAUCCAGAGAGAUCGUUAAGGUCACCAAUAUUCAAAUAUUUUAAAAUUGCAUUCCAGUUUUAGAAGAGCCCAGCUCCUUUUUAUAUGAUUACUAUUAAGUUUGGCAUUUUUGAGACGUGUCUUAAAUCAAUACCUGUAAUACCUACAGACAUCAGUAGGGAGAAGAGUAUUGUAAACACGUACCCUUGCUGUAGGGUCCAUUUUAAAUGUCUAAACACUAAUCAAUAUCGUGAAAUUAAG